Molecule: transfer RNA, 71 nt
Filed under: Stenocercus varius
Lineage: Eukaryota; Metazoa; Chordata; Lepidosauria; Squamata; Tropiduridae
Description: tRNA-Ile
Source: RNAcentral
GGAAGCGUGCCUGAGCUAUAAGGACUACUUUGAUAGAGUAGACUACAGAGACUCAACCCCUCUCACUUCCU